RNAcentral lists this ribosomal RNA (429 nucleotides) under uncultured bacterium. RNAcentral's name for it is "partial 16S ribosomal RNA". It matches the Rfam family "Bacterial small subunit ribosomal RNA", at positions 405 to 826 of the family's 1533-position model. The record is from RNAcentral.
GUGAAGAAGGCCUUCGGGUUGUAAAGCUCUUUUAGUCGGAAAGAAANAGUUGCNNUGNAUAAUUGUGAUUNAUGACGGUACCGACAGAAAAAGCACCGGCUAACUACGUGCCAGCAGCCGCGGUAAUACGUAGGGUGCGAGCGUUAAUCGGAAUUACUGGGCGUAAAGGGUGCGCAGGCGGUUUUGNAAGUCAGAUGUGAAAGCCCCGGGCUUAACCUGGGAANUGCGUUUGAAACUACAAGGCUAGAGUGCNNCAGAGGGGAGUGGAAUUCCAUGUGUAGCAGUGAAAUGCGUAGAGAUGUGGAANAACACCGAUGGCGAANGCAGCUCCCUGGGUUNACACUGACGCUCAUGCACGAAAGCGUGGGGAGCAAACAGGAUUAGAUACCCUGGUAGUCCACNNCCUAAACGAUGUCAACUAGUUGUCGG